GUGAGAGGGGCGGCAGGCUCCGCCAGCACGGUGACCCUGGGCGAGCGAGGUAGGGAGGCAUCACGACAGGUGGAGGUGGUGAUGCAGGCCUUUAAUCCUAGCCGUUGGGAGGCAGGAGCAGGAGAAUCUCUUGAGUCCAGGACUGCAGAAGAGACUGAGAAGCUGAACACCCCUGGCUCGAUCCUACUCAUGGGUAGGACCACAGGAGAGACCUCGGCCCCAGAGCAGUCAUGAGAAUCAGUCUGGAAAUAGGUCAUCUUCCACGUGGACUUACACUAUGGCAGAGACACUGUCCCCUGAAGCAACCCUAGUCCUCAAAAUCUAUCCAAGACACAAGCAGGCAGCUGCAAGAUAGAGGCAGAGGGACCCUGCAGACAGCCACAACUAUGCAAAGUAUGUCUCCAAUGGCAAAGAGGCUACUGCAGUCACCUCUAUGGGAAUUAAGGAAAAGUCGUAUCUAUCACCAACACUUCAGAAGAAGAAGGCUGUCUCACCAUCCUCACUUCUGGCCAUAAAACAUCUCCCUUAAUUUUGUCCCAUGUUAAAGUUCCAUCACACCAAUGAGAAUAUCAAGUAACAUCACACAAUACAGAAAACAACAUGGAGUCAGAAGAAGCAAACACAACCCCAGCCCACCCCACCCCUACUCCAUCAAUCAGCUCUGGGGUUAGAGAGAGCUGCCACAGGAAGACAGCUGCAGAUGAGCCGGAUGGAGCUCACCACAGCCUCUCCUUGCCCUUCCAGCCUUCGGGAUAAUAACAGACAGGUUUCUGAGGAGUGUAAGCUGACAAGAUUAAUGCAGAUU
RNAcentral lists this long non-coding RNA (805 nucleotides) under Mus spretus (western wild mouse). Its description in RNAcentral is "predicted gene 16120 (ENSMSPG00010040841.1)". The record is from RNAcentral. Lineage: Eukaryota; Metazoa; Chordata; Mammalia; Rodentia; Muridae.